RNAcentral lists this ribosomal RNA (520 nucleotides) under uncultured Scutellospora. RNAcentral's name for it is "SSU rRNA". It matches the Rfam family "Eukaryotic small subunit ribosomal RNA", at positions 569 to 1096 of the family's 1831-position model. Lineage: Eukaryota; Fungi; Glomeromycota; Glomeromycetes; Diversisporales; Gigasporaceae. The record is from RNAcentral.
AGCAGCCGCGGUAAUUCCAGCUCCAAUAGCGUAUAUUAAAGUUGUUGCAGUUAAAAAGCUCGUAGUUGAAUUUCGGGGUUCUACCGUUGGUCGGGCUAUUGUCUGUACUGGCGUGUAGAAUUUCUACCUUCUGGGGAACUAUCAUGUUAUUAAUUUAGCGUGGUAGGAAGCCAGGACCUUUACCUUGAAAAAAUUAGAGUGUUCAAAGCAGGCUUAUGUCUGAAUACAUUAGCAUGGAAUAAUAAAAUAGGACGGUGGUCCUGUUUUGUUGGUUUCUGAAUCACCGUAAUGAUUAAUAGGGAUAGUUGGGGGCAUUAGUAUUCAAUUGUCAGAGGUGAAAUUCUUGGAUUUAUUGAAGACUAACUACUGCGAAAGCAUUUGCCAAGGAUGUUUUCAUUAAUCAAGAACGAAAGUUAGGGAUCGAAGACGAUCAGAUACCGUCGUAGUCUUAACCAUAAACUAUGCCGACUAGGGAUCGGACGAUGUUAAUUUUUCUUGACUCGUUCGCGCCUUACGGGAA